RNAcentral lists this ribosomal RNA (470 nucleotides) under Phonognatha graeffei. RNAcentral's name for it is "partial 16S ribosomal RNA". The stretch from base 127 to 423 matches the Rfam family "Bacterial large subunit ribosomal RNA", at positions 2075 to 2645 of the family's 2925-position model. The record is from RNAcentral. Lineage: Eukaryota; Metazoa; Arthropoda; Arachnida; Araneae; Araneidae.
UGUGCUAAGGUAGCAUAAUCAUUAGUCUUUUAAUUAAAGGCUCGUAUGAAAGGUUGCACAAUUUAAUUUCUUUAUUAAAUUUAAAAACCAAAAUUAUUUUAAUCAUAAAAAAAUGAUUAUAAAUAUAUUAGACGACAAGACCCUAUUGAACUUUACUUCAGUUUAGCUGGGGCAGCUAUCUAAAAAACAUUUUAGAAAACCUCAUUAACUAAAGAUCCAAUACAAUUGGUUAUUUGACCAACGUUACCAUAGGGAUAACAGCGUAAUUUCUUUUUAAAGCUCUGAUUAAAUAAGAAGAUUGCGACCUCGAUGUUGAAUUAAUUUAACUUUUACGCAAAAGUAAAAAAAGUAGGUCUGUUCGACCUUUAAUAAAUUACAUGAUUUGAGUUCAAAUCGGUGCAAACCAGAUUGGUUUCUAUCUAUAAAUAUUAUUUAUCUAGUACGAAAGGACCAAUAAAUAUAUUAAUAAU